AGAGAAAGUAAAAGUCGUAAACAGGGUUUCUGUAGGUGAACCUGCGGAGGGAUCAUUAGCGAAGCAACGCCCCCGGAGGUUGUGCUGGCGCUCUCUGCGCACGUGCACGCCCCCGUCGGGUUGUCCGCCCGUCCCACACCUGUGCACAUGUCCUGUCGGAACUCGGAGGGGGGCCUGCGUGCCCCUCGCCCGUUCCGGCCCCUUCACACCAGCCCUGUUGUAUGUCUGAAAGCCACUGCGCUUGCGCAACCUAAAAACAACUUUUAACAACGGAUCUCUUGGUUCUCGCAUCGAUGAAGAACGCAGCGAAAUGCGAUAAGUAAUGUGAAUUGCAGAAUUCAGUGAAUCAUCGAAUCUUUGAACGCACCUUGCGCUCCUUGGCAUUCCGAGGAGCAUGCCCGUUUGAGAGUCUCGACAUCAUCGGGCGCCUUCUCCCUUGCGGGGGGAGAGCGUCUGGACUUGGACGUGCUGCCGGGCGGCAACGCUCGGCUCGUCCGAAAUGCAUUAGCGGGAGAGACCCAGGCCCUCACUUGGCGUGAUAAGUCACCCGUCGAGAUGCCGGUGGUGGACUCCUGCUUCCAACGGUCCCGCUUGGGACAACAACCGGAUGGCUUGUCCGUCCGACGUUCUGACCUCAAAUCGGGUAGGACUACCCGCUGAACUUAAGCAUAUCAAUAAGCGGANNNAAAGAAACUAACAAAGGAUUCCCCUAGUAACGGCGAGUGAAGCGGGAAAAGCUCAAAUUUAAAAUCUGGCGGUCUUUGGCCGUCCGAGUUGUAGCCUAGAGAAGCGUCUUCCGCGGCGGACCAUGUACAAGUCUCUUGGAACAGAGCGUCAUAGAGGGUGAGAAUCCCGUCCUUGACAUGGACCCCCGUCGCUCUGCGAUGCGCUCUCGAAGAGUCGAGUUGUUUGGGAAUGCAGCUCAAAAUGGGUGGUAAAUUCCAUCUAAAGCUAAAUACUGGCGAGAGACCGAUAGCGAACAAGUACCGUGAGGGAAAGAUGAAAAGCACUUUGGAAAGAGAGUCAAACAGUACGUGAAAUUGUUAAAAGGGAAACGAUCAAAGUCAGUCGCGUCUGCCGGGACUCAGCCUCGCCCUUGGGCAUGGCGCAUUUCCCGGUGUGACGGGCCAGCGUCGAUUUUGGCCGGCGGAGAAGGGUCGGAGGAAUGUGGCUCCUCGCGGAGUGUUAUAGCCUCCGGCUGCAAACGUCGGCUGGGAUCGAGCCCUCGAGCACGGCACGCCCCUGGUGGUGCCCGYGCUGGCGUAAUGGCUUUGACCGACCCGUCUUGAAACACGGACCAAGGAGUCUAACAUGUCUGCAAGUGUUUGGGUGGCAAAACCCGAGCGCGUAAUGAAAGUGAUGGUUGGGAACCCUUUGCGGGGGGCACCGACGCCCGUGGCCGACCUUCUGCGACGCACACGAGGCAGAGCAUGCAUGUUGGGACCCGAAAGAUGGUGAACUAUGCCUGAAUAGGGUGAAGCCAGAGGAAACUCUGGUGGAGGCUCGUAGCGAUUCUGACGUGCAAAUCGAUCGUCAAAUUUGGGUAUAGGGGCGAAAGACUAAUCGAACCAUCUAGUAGCUGGUUCCUGCCGAAGUUUCCCUCAGGAUAGCAGAAACUCAUGUCAGUUUUAUGUGGUAAAGCGAAUGAUUAGAGACCUUGGGGUUGAAACAACCUUAAUCUAUUCUCAAACUUUAAAUAUGUAAGCUCAGCACGCUUGCUUGGUUGAAGCGGCUGUAAAUGAGAGUUUCUAGUGGGCCAUUUUUGGUAAGCAGAACUGGCGAUGCGGGAUGAACCGAACGCGAGGUUAAGGUGCCGGAGUUCACGCUCAUCAGACACCACAAAAGGUGUUAGUUCAUCCAGACAGCACGACGGUGGCCAUGGAAGUCGGAACCCGCUAAGGAGUGUGUAACAACUCACCUGCCGAAUGAACUAGCCCUGAAAAUGGAUGGCGCUCAAGCGUGACACCCAUACCUCGCCGUCGGCGUUGGCUAUACGUCGACAAGUAGGCAGGCGUGGGGGUCGUGAAGAAGCCUAGGAGGUGACUCCGGGUGA
RNAcentral lists this ribosomal RNA (2053 nucleotides) under [Haplotrichum] curtisii. RNAcentral's name for it is "eukaryotic LSU rRNA". The stretch from base 630 to 2053 matches the Rfam family "Eukaryotic large subunit ribosomal RNA", at positions 1 to 1430 of the family's 3401-position model. The record is from RNAcentral. Lineage: Eukaryota; Fungi; Basidiomycota; Agaricomycetes; Cantharellales; Botryobasidiaceae.